AUUCAACUGAUGAGUCACAGAUAGGAUGAAACACGCUUCUUGGAU
RNAcentral lists this non-coding RNA (45 nucleotides) under Schistosoma mansoni. Lineage: Eukaryota; Metazoa; Platyhelminthes; Trematoda; Strigeidida; Schistosomatidae. The record is from RNAcentral.